AUAUACUUUUAAAUUUUAGUUUAUUUUUUUAGGCACCAUUUGGAUCGGGGAUAAAAGAAGGGAUAAUCCCUUAUCCCCUUUAUAUUCAAACGCAAAUUUUUUAUCCGAGAAUAGUAAUUCUUAGGUACCUGAAAUAAGCUGGUAUAAUUAUUCCCACCAACACCUUCAUUUCUAUAUAUAACUACUCACCAUUUUUCUUAUUUCAUAUUAUCUAUGCAAACGCGUUCUUAUCUCCAUACUUGAACCUAUUUCUAUAAUAGCUAGUUCUUAUUUAUACUUUAUACCUGAACCAAAAGGAAGUCUUAUUA
This 308-nucleotide long non-coding RNA is filed under the name Ananas comosus (pineapple). RNAcentral describes it as "long non-coding RNA (ACOM_LNC008111)". The record is from RNAcentral. Lineage: Eukaryota; Viridiplantae; Streptophyta; Magnoliopsida; Poales; Bromeliaceae.